This 253-nucleotide ribosomal RNA is filed under the name uncultured bacterium. RNAcentral's name for it is "partial 16S ribosomal RNA". It matches the Rfam family "Bacterial small subunit ribosomal RNA", at positions 524 to 776 of the family's 1533-position model. The record is from RNAcentral.
UACGUAGGGGGCUAGCGUUGUCCGGAAUCAUUGGGCGUAAAGCGCACGUAGGCGGAUUGUUAAGUCAGGGGUGAAAUCCUGGAGCUCAACUCCAGAACUGCCUUUGAUACUGGCGAUCUUGAGUCCGGGAGAGGUGAGUGGAACUGCGAGUGUAGAGGUGAAAUUCGUAGAUAUUCGCAAGAACACCAGUGGCGAAGGCGGCUCACUGGCCCGGUACUGACGCUGAGGUGCGAAAGCGUGGGGAGCAAACAGG